GAUGAAGAACGUAGCGAAAUGCGAUAAGUAAUGUGAAUUGCAGAAUUCAGUGAAUCAUCGAAUCUUUGAACGCACAUUGCGCCCCCUGGUAUUCCGGGGGGCAUUCCUGUCCGAGCGUCAUUACAACCCUCAAGCUCAGCUUGGUGUUGGGCCCCGCCGCCCCGGCGGGCCCUAAAGUCAGUGGCGGUGCCGUCCGGCUCCGAGCGUAGUAAUUCUUCUCGCUCUGGAGGUCCGGUCGUGUGCUCGCCAGCAACCCCCAAUUUUUUUCAGGUUGACCUCGGAACAGGUAGGGAUACCCGCUGAAUUUAAGCGUAUCAGUAAGCGGAGGA
This 329-nucleotide unclassified non-coding RNA is filed under the name soil metagenome. RNAcentral's name for it is "partial contains 5.8S ribosomal RNA, internal transcribed spacer 2, and large subunit ribosomal RNA". The stretch from base 1 to 120 matches the Rfam family "5.8S ribosomal RNA", at positions 35 to 154 of the family's 154-position model. The record is from RNAcentral.